AGGCCGACAGGCGUAGGCGAUGGAUAACAGGUUGAUAUUCCUGUACCACCUAUAAUCGUUUUAAUCGAUGGGGGGACGCAGUAGGAUAGGCGAAGCGUGCGAUUGGAUUGCACGUCUAAGCAGUAAGGCUGAGUAUUAGGCAAAUCCGGUACUCGUUAAGGCUGAGCUGUGAUGGGGAGAAGACAUUGUGUCUUCGAGUCGUUGAUUUCACACUGCCGAGAAAAGCCUCUAGAUAGAAAAUAGGUGCCCGUACCGCAAACCGACACAGGUAGUCAAGAUGAGAAUUCUAAGGUGAGCGAGCGAACUCUCGUUAAGGAACUCGGCAAAAUGACCCCGUAACUUCGGGAGAAGGGGUGCUCUUUAGGGUUAACGCCCAGAAGAGCCGCAGUGAAUAGGCCCAAGCGACUGUUUAUCAAAAACACAGGUCUCUGCUAAACCGUAAGGUGAUGUAUAGGGGCUGACGCCUGCCCGGUGCUGGAAGGUUAAGAGGAGUGGUUAGCUUCUGCGAAGCUACGAAUCGAAGCCCCAGUAAACGGCGGCCGUAACUAUAACGGUCCUAAGGUAGCGAAAUUCCUUGUCGGGUAAGUUCCGACCCGCACGAAAGGCGUAACGAUUUGGGCACUGUCUCAACGAGAGACUCGGUGAAAUCAUAGUACCUGUGAAGAUGCAGGUUACCCGCGACAGGACGGAAAGACCCCGUGGAGCUUUACUGUAGCCUGAUAUUGAAAUUCGGCACAGCUUGUACAGGAUAGGUAGGAGCCUUUGAAACGUGAGCGCUAGCUUACGUGGAGGCGCUGGUGGGAUACUACCCUAGCUGUGUUGGCUUUCUAACCCGCACCACUUAUCGUGGUGGGAGACAGUGUCAGGCGGGCAGUUUGACUGGGGCGGUCGCCUCCUAAAAGGUAACGGAGGCGCUCAAAGGUUCCCUCAGAAUGGUUGGAAAUCAUUCAUAGAGUGUAAAGGCAUAAGGGAGCUUGACUGCGAGACCUACAAGUCGAGCAGGGUCGAAAGACGGACUUAGUGAUCCGGUGGUUCCGCAUGGAAGGGCCAUCGCUCAACGGAUAAAAGCUACCCCGGGGAUAACAGGCUUAUCUCCCCCAAGAGUUCACAUCGACGGGGAGGUUUGGCACCUCGAUGUCGGCUCAUCGCAUCCUGGGGCUGUAGUCGGUCCCAAGGGUUGGGCUGUUCGCCCAUUAAAGCGGUACGCGAGCUGGGUUCAGAACGUCGUGAGACAGUUCGGUCCCUAUCCGUCGUGGGCGUAGGAAAUUUGAGAGGAGCUGUCCUUAGUACGAGAGGACCGGGAUGGACAUACCUCUGGUGUACCAGUUGUCGUGCCAACGGCAUAGCUGGGUAGCUAUGUGUGGACGGGAUAAGUGCUGAAAGCAUCUAAGCAUGAAGCCCCCCUCAAGAUGAGAUUUCCCAACUUCGGUUAUAAGAUCCCUCAAAGAUGAUGAGGUUAAUAGGUUCGAGGUGGAAGCAUGGUGACAUGUGGAGCUGACGAAUACUAAUCGAUCGAAGACUUAAUC
This 1526-nucleotide ribosomal RNA is filed under the name Staphylococcus aureus. RNAcentral describes it as "bacterial LSU rRNA". It matches the Rfam family "Bacterial large subunit ribosomal RNA", at positions 1399 to 2925 of the family's 2925-position model. Lineage: Bacteria; Bacillati; Bacillota; Bacilli; Caryophanales; Staphylococcaceae. The record is from RNAcentral.